GUUCAAAUUAAAUAGACUAUUAUGUUGCAGAGUAUACAUCUGAAUGAAGUAACAGUAGAUAAACACACAUAGCAACCAGUGUAGAUCAAAGAAGAAGGAAA
Molecule: non-coding RNA, 101 nt
Organism: Tinamus guttatus (white-throated tinamou)
Lineage: Eukaryota; Metazoa; Chordata; Aves; Tinamiformes; Tinamidae
Source: RefSeq, a predicted model, not a curated record